This 343-nucleotide long non-coding RNA is filed under the name Anser brachyrhynchus (Pink-footed goose). Its description in RNAcentral is "lncRNA (ENSABRG00000005919.1)". The record is from RNAcentral. Lineage: Eukaryota; Metazoa; Chordata; Aves; Anseriformes; Anatidae.
CUUCACAAUACACCAACAUGGGCAUGACUCCCCAUUUCUCCUCAGUCAUGUUCCAACACACAGUACAAGAGGAACAUGCUGGUGUGAAAGGCCAGUGGUCUCAGCCAGGCCUGAGUAAACAGAUUUUCUUUCUCAAAUUCCUACUGAUGGAGAAAGUAAGGAUUCUGGUGUGGCAAAAAAAAAAGAAAAACAAAGUAACUUGUCACUUAGUAAUUCAUGUGGAAAGAGACCUAGCCUACAAGAGGACAUUGUCAGCUGAAUGAAAGAGAUUAAAUUGAUAAGAAAGAAUAGAGGUCUGCUUCCUUCAUUGUCUUGGAAAAUACAUUUGUUAGGCAGCUUUCCA